Molecule: ribosomal RNA, 467 nt
Filed under: uncultured bacterium
Lineage: Bacteria
Description: bacterial SSU rRNA
Rfam family: Bacterial small subunit ribosomal RNA
Source: RNAcentral
GACGAACGCUGGCGGCGUGCUUAACACAUGCAAGUCGAACGGUGACGGAGAGCUUGCUCUCCUGAUCAGUGGCGAACGGGUGAGUAACACGUGGGCAAUCUGCCCCUGACUUCGGGAUAACGCUUCGAAAGAGGUGCUAAUACCGAAUACGAAUCCUGCAGGCAUCUGCGGGAUUGGAAAGUUUUUCGGUCAGGGAUGAGCCCGCGGCCUAUCAGCUAGUUGGUGAGGUAAUGGCUCACCAAGGCGACGACGGGUAGCCGGCCUGAGAGGGCGACCGGCCACACUGGGACUGAGACACGGCCCAGACUCCUACGGGAGGCAGCAGUGGGGAAUAUUGCGCAAUGGGCGAAAGCCUGACGCAGCAACGCCGCGUGCGGGAAGAAGGCUCUCGGGUUGUAAACCGCUUUCAGAAGGAACGAAAAUGACGGUACUUUCAGAAGAAGGUGCGGCCAACUACGUGCCAGCAG